AUGAAUCUCGGUGGUACCGAGUUGCACUAAACGUGGCAACUUUUGAAUUCUCGGUGAGACAGACAUAUGAAUCUCGGUGGUACUGAUACGAUGACCUAGACCAGUUUCUAAAUCUCAGUGAGAACGAUUUCAAACUCGGAAAUUCCGAUUCUUGAAAUCUUCUCAAUAGAAAGCUGGUCACUCAAUCUCGAUGGCACCGAUGUGAAAGUUGGUGGAAUUGAGAUAGUAUGGUUUGGCAUAGGAUCCGUCAAGUGAAAAAUCGGUAGGGCCGAGUGAAAAUAGUUGGUGGCACCGAUUUUGCUGGUUUGGCUUUGG
This 315-nucleotide long non-coding RNA is filed under the name Hordeum vulgare. RNAcentral's name for it is "long non-coding RNA (HVUL_LNC020861)". Lineage: Eukaryota; Viridiplantae; Streptophyta; Magnoliopsida; Poales; Poaceae. The record is from RNAcentral.